AGAUGGCGACCGGCGCACGGGUGAGUAACACGUAUCCAACCUGCCGAUAACUCGGGGAUAGCCUUUCGAAAGAAAGAUUAAUACCCGAUGGCAUAAUUAGACCGCAUGGUCUUAUUAUUAAAGAAUUUCGGUUAUCGAUGGGGAUGCGUUCCAUUAGGCAGUUGGUGUGGUAACGGCUCACCAAACCUUCGAUGGAUAGGGGUUCUGAGAGGAAGGUCCCCCACAUUGGAACUGAGACACGGUCCAA
This 247-nucleotide ribosomal RNA is filed under the name uncultured bacterium. Its description in RNAcentral is "partial 16S ribosomal RNA". It matches the Rfam family "Bacterial small subunit ribosomal RNA", at positions 86 to 334 of the family's 1533-position model. The record is from RNAcentral.